Molecule: ribosomal RNA, 1334 nt
Filed under: uncultured bacterium
Lineage: Bacteria
Description: bacterial SSU rRNA
Rfam family: Bacterial small subunit ribosomal RNA
Source: RNAcentral
GGAUGAACGUUGGCGGUGUGCCUAAUACAUGCAAGUCGAACGGAGACUGUAGCAAUACUGUCUUAGUGGCGAACGGGUGAGUAACGCGUUGGUGAUCUGCCUCGAAGUGUGGAAUAACCUCCCGAAAGGGAAGCUAAUACCGCAUAGUCUCUCAAGGUUUAGAAAAUUGAGAGUAAAGGAUUUAUUCGCUUCGAGAGGAGCCUGCGUCCCAUCAGCUAGUUGGUAGGGUAACGGCCUACCAAGGCAAUGACGGGUAGGGGACCUGAGAGGGUGGCCCCCCACAAUGGAACUGAAACACGGUCCAUACACCUACGGGUGGCAGCAGUAGGGAAUAUUAGAAAUGGGCGGAAGCCUGAUCUAGCAACACCGCGUGUGCGAUGAAGGCCUUCGGGUCGUAAAGCACUUUUUGGAGGGAAUAGGAAGGAAGGUACCUCCAGAAUAAGUCUCGGCUAACUACGUGCCAGCAGCCGCGGUAACACGUAGGAGGCAAACGUUAUCCGGAUUCACUGGGCGUAAAGCGCGUGCAGGUGGUUUCGUAAGUAGGGCGUGAAAGCUCCCGGCUCAACUGGGAGAGGCCGUACUAAACUGCGGAGCUAGAGGAUGGUAGAGGGAGGUGGAAUUCCAGGUGUAGUGGUGAAAUGCGCAGAUAUCUGGAGGAACACCAGUGGCGAAGGCGGCCUCCUGGACCAUACCUGACACUCAGACGCGAAAGCUAGGGUAGCAAACGGAAUUAGAGACUCCGGUAGUCCUAGCCCUAAACGAUGCAGACUAGGCGUCGGCGGUUUAAUCACCGUCGGUGUCCAAGCUAACGCGAUAAGUCUGCCGCCUGAGGACUACGGCCGCAAGGCUAAAACUCAAAGGAAUUGACGGGUCCCCGCACAAGCAGCGGAGCGUGUGGUUUAAUUCGAUGCUCCGCGAAGAACCUUACCAGCCCUUGACAUGGCAGGACGAUUUCCGGAGACGGAUCUCUUCACUUCGGUGACCUGCACACAGGUGCUGCAUGGCUGUCGUCAGCUCGUGUCGUGAGAUGUUGGGUUAAGUCCCGCAACGAGCGCAACCCUCGCCCUUAGUUGCCAUCAUUCAGUUGGGCACUCUAGGGGGACUGCCGGUGAUAAGCCGGAGGAAGGUGGGGAUGACGUCAAGUCUUCAUGGCCCUUACGGGCUGGGCUACACACGUGCUACAAUGGCGGUGACAGAGGGUUGCCAGGUCGCGAGGCCGAGCUAAUCCCUAAAAGCCGUCUCAGUUCGGAUUGCACUCUGCAACUCGAGUGCAUGAAGUCGGAAUCGCUAGUAAUCGCAGAUCAGCACGCUGCGGUGAAUACGUUCCCGGGCCU